This 70-nucleotide transfer RNA is filed under the name Salvia splendens (bonfire salvia). RNAcentral's name for it is "tRNA-His". The stretch from base 13 to 70 matches the Rfam family "tRNA". From Rfam's summary of the family: Transfer RNA (tRNA) molecules are approximately 80 nucleotides in length. The record is from RNAcentral. Lineage: Eukaryota; Viridiplantae; Streptophyta; Magnoliopsida; Lamiales; Lamiaceae.
GUUUGUAGUUCAGUGGCAAAAAUGCCAUAUUGUGGUUGUGGAGACCUGAGUUCGAAUCCCAGUUGCCACA